AUCGCUUCUCGGCCUUCUGGCUAAGAUCAAGUGUAGUAUCUGAAACAAAAACAUAAACGUUUCAUAAUGCACACAUA
Oryctolagus cuniculus (rabbit) is the source of this 77-nucleotide small nuclear RNA. Its record names the gene U2. It matches the Rfam family "U2 spliceosomal RNA". From Rfam's summary of the family: U2 is a small nuclear RNA (snRNA) component of the spliceosome (involved in pre-mRNA splicing). Complementary binding between U2 snRNA (in an area lying towards the 5' end but 3' to hairpin I) and the branchpoint sequence (BPS) of the intron results the bulging out of an unpaired adenosine, on the BPS, which initiates a nucleophilic attack at the intronic 5' splice site, thus starting the first of two transesterification reactions that mediate splicing. Lineage: Eukaryota; Metazoa; Chordata; Mammalia; Lagomorpha; Leporidae. The record is from Ensembl.